RNAcentral lists this transfer RNA (60 nucleotides) under Sycobia sp. 2 JXW-2020. Its description in RNAcentral is "tRNA-Cys". Lineage: Eukaryota; Metazoa; Arthropoda; Insecta; Hymenoptera; Epichrysomallidae. The record is from RNAcentral.
AAUCUAAUAAUUUAAUAAAAAUAUUAAAUUGCAAAUUUAAAAAUAGUAAUAUUUAGGUUU